RNAcentral lists this long non-coding RNA (8460 nucleotides) under Malus domestica (apple). Its description in RNAcentral is "long non-coding RNA (MDOM_LNC009118)". The record is from RNAcentral. Lineage: Eukaryota; Viridiplantae; Streptophyta; Magnoliopsida; Rosales; Rosaceae.
AUGUGGAUGCAAAUUUUCUCCUCUUCGAUCUUGGACGAUUUUGCACCUACAAAACAACUAGCACCUUAGGUUAAGGCCAAAAGCCUCACGCGCCCACGAUGAAUGGGGGGGGCUUUGGCCGAAGAACCUCCGAUGCCAAAGUUAGAAUUUUUAGAGAGAAAAAGUGUUUAGAGUAUUUAGCAUUUUUUGCAAGAGGAUUGGCCUUACUAUUUGGUGAAAAUAGGUCCCUAUUUAUAAGGCUAGGUAGGUUUACUUUUUAGAGAGGAAAUGUGGCCGGCCAUUCAAUAGGAAUUUUAGGUUUUAUUUGGCUAAUUAAACCUAAAAGGAAAUGUUUUGGUGGUUAUGGUAUUAAUUGGCUAAUAAAAAGGAAGAAAUGGUGAAAAAGGUAGAAAAAGGUGAUGGAUUAGGUUUUGAAUGGGGAUAGCCGGCCCUCUAGUAUUUUUAGGUUUGAAUGGGUGUUUCAAUUUGAUAAUUAAGGGAUUGAUUAGGUAAUUAAUCCCUUAAUUAGUCAAUUUUUAGGAAACAUGAAAGGAAUAUAUUAUUUAGCUAAUUGAUUAGCUAAAUAAUGAAAUAUAAAACAUAUAAGAUAAAUUAGGUUUUGGGAAUUACCUUAUAGAAAGGAUUUGAUGAAAUAGGCUUUAAAUUGUUACCUAUUUUGAGCACUUUUGACUUGGUUGAAAGAUAAUUUCCCGCUGCUUGAGCGUAGGAAUCUCGGUAUGCAUGAAGGGUAUUUUUGUCCUCUUUUGUCCAAAAGUCCACAUGUCGCCUAGUGAAUAUUUUUGGCUCCACAAAUGCCCCCACACCUGUUGGGCUGCUCGUAAGAAAGGGCAGCAGGUGUAGAGAUCUUCUUGCUUCAGGAAACGUAGGAUUGCUUCAUAUUUUGAUGUUGAUUCUCUCUUUAAUUGGAAAUUAGGUCCUUCUAGGAAAGGGAAAUAAACUUCUCUCAAAGCCUAUUUAAGUCCACCUUAAGUGGGUUAUUAAAUCAACUUUGGAGAGCAAUUUAUUCUACCCCACAAGAGAGAAAAAGUUAGAGGAUAUUUGUUCCCCCUCCUCUAGUAAUCUUCUACAUCUUGCCCGUGCAAAGGACCGUCUUUCGUUGAUUUCUUCGUCUUCUCCGUGCCGCACCGAUGUAAGAAAAAUUUAUUUUUUUCUUACCUUCUUCUUGGAUAGUGCUAUUGCGGGGCAGCUGUCGGGGUGGUGCGGCACGUCGGCUGGCAGGGGCCAGGAGUUGGCUCGGCAUGGGCCGAGGAGAUGUCGUGGCAGGGACCACUGCUUGGGCAGCUUGGCUUGGGUUGAGCUAAGGGCAGCUUGUGUGGCUGGGGUCGUGGAUUGUGGCGUUAAGGCGCAGUGCUAGGCGAGCCGUAUGGCUCAUGUCCUUUGGGCUAUUGGACCUGACUCGGGCCAGGCUGGCGAUUGAGAGAAAUGAGGAGAUUGUGGGUCUCAUAGGCUGCUGGAAUGUUGGGUUGAGCUCCCUUGCUGAGUACCAUGAAUGUCGUUGGCUGCUUAGUCCUCUUCGCUGAAAGAAAGGUAGGCUGCUCCCGAAAGAGGAGGUGAAUAGGAUCAAGGCGGAUGCAUUGGCUCGUCCAAUCACUAUUGUGGAUCUUGCUGCAAGUGUAGGUGGGAAAAGGGAUAUUGCCUGCCUGCACAAGAGAUGUCGGCUAAGAAAAAAAAAACCAAAGACUUCUUUCGCUCGCGCGGGUUUGCCGACUGCCUCCAAGCUUGUGAUUGACUUGACUUUUUCCAAGGGGACGAAAAAUGAGGCUGCUAGAUCUGAGCAUGUGGUGCUUGCCAUGUCAAGAAUGGCUAGUACAAUUGCUGAUAGGAUUGUUCGGCAUAAAGGUCAUGUCAUGCCCCUAGUGCUGAAUUUUGUACCAAGACGUCUGUUGGGAGCAAAGUCCGGUUCACCUUUGGAGAGGCUUGCUAUUAUGAAGAGCGAUAAGGUGGACUCUGGUGCUAAAGUGGCGCCAAGGCCUAUUCCUUAUGCUGCUGAGACUGAUUCGCCUGCUGGGAAUGAGGAGACUGCUCGCGUAGGCAGUUGUGAAAAAUCCACUAAGCCUGCUUCUGGGGAAGUUGCUGAGAUCUAUGUUCUUUUGAAACCAGAUCUCUUGAAAACAUGGACGCUUGUGCCAAGUUUGUUGAUGGCAUCAGAAAGGUGUUUGCCCAAGCUCGUUUGCGAAGCAUACGACCCAAUUAUAGAAUGACUGCUAUGCUUGCUAUGAUGCAGAUAUAGCAAGGCUGCUAAGGAGAAGACAAAUACUAUGGUAGAUUCUGAGCUCGUUGCUUUGAAGGGAGUGGAUGAGCUGCAGCGCGUCCGUGUUAGUCUGUUUAAGAAGAAUGAGCAGCUGAAGGGUGAGAAGGAUAGGUUUCAGGUUUUAAGACAUUCUCUAUUUCUCCGGAAGACUUGCUUGCUUUUACUUUUAAGGCUUCCAUUGAUGAAGUAGUUGGAGAAGUUAGUGCCCAGGUUGGGGUAGCUGGGGAUGAAGCGCCGGAUGAUGCCGCUGCUAAGAGCGUUACGGCUGUUGAAGGUGUGGCGACCGAGUAGUUGUGGGAUGUCCAAGCUGCUGAAGUGUAGUCAUCUAGGUAGCCUUUAAGAUUUUCUUUGUUUUUCCUUGUAGCUCUUGUUUUGCUUAAACUCCUUCGACCUUUGCUAGUUGUUUAUAAACAUGUUUUCCUUAGCUUUUCUUCAUUUUUGCUUCUUUUGUUCAUGCCCUAACCUUUAGACUUGAUGGACCAGUGGCAAGCAUGCUACUUUUUUUAUAAGCAGACAAGCUCGCGUAGCCUAUGCAGUUGUAGGUGUUAGUGUAGAACUUUGCAAAGUUGUUAGCCAUUGGGUUGGCAGCCGGAUGCCUUACUUACAUAAGCAAACAAGUCUGCGUAACCACUAGGCUGUUAACCUUGACUUUCUCCAAUUCCGUAGGUUGCGUAGCAAGUAUCACAACACUUUAGGACUUGGUGUAGGUUGUUUCGCGCUUGGCAAAGGUGAAGCUUAUCAACUACGUAGCAUGUCGGCAGUGGAUAAAACUUCGUAUAUGCGUGCUAGCUUGUUUAACCUUUCACAAAAAUGUGCAGUUGUAUAAGUCUAGUGCGGCUUUACUGCUCGAAGGGCAAGCUGUAGGCAGUCUUCCGGAAUCCGUAGGCUACCUUAGUGCACUCGGUAGCAGCUUUAGGAUUCCAGGGCAACCGUCCAUCGGAUGUACUGCGUAAUGUGCCCUCUCCGUCUCUAGGGCCCGGUUCCCCACGGAUUAGGCCAAGAGACCUAAAAUCCUUCAGUUAGCUAAGCCUUGAAAAAGACCAUUGCGGUUACUUCUAGGAAUCCCGGCGCAAGCCAUCGUGCAUCUAGUUAUACUAAGGCAGCCCGGCUCAUCCACGUCUGGAUAUUCGGAGUGUAGAGUUUAUCCUCCUGUUCAUGGAGAGCUGACCCAUAUGGGUGUCGGGGAAUUGGUUUACCCUCUCGCGUUGGAGAGCAAUUAGUUUACCCUCUUGCACUGGAGAGCAUGGUUGGUCCCUCGGGGGGCGCAAUUCCUAUGGUAAGUCCCUAAGAAGGGCGCGAUCUUGAAGUUCAAGAAUGAUCAGUUGUUGUAAGCAUGCAGCCAAGCCAAGUCGUGAUUACUUCUGAAUUCCUCAUUGAAAAACGAGUUAAACGAACGAGAACUUAGAUGUAAGGUAAGAACUGCAUAACAACUGGAUAAUCCUCGACUGAUGAGAUAGUGCCCGUCGAGCUGCUUGAGUCUACGGGCUUUGAUGUAGCAAGAGGUCACACAUGGUACUUCCUCAGAUUGUAGGCGUUCCACUGUUUUUCGAUCUUUUUGUCAUUUUAUGGUGGCGAGGGUGUAAUUGUUCUUGCCACUUACUCUACUAAUCUUGUACGGACUUUCCCAGAUGGGAUCCAUAUUUUUGGAGCCUUUCUGCUGGCAGUGAUAAAGGUUUUUCUUAUGACCAGAUCUCCGGGCUGGAACUGCCGGAUCUUGGCCCUUUCGUUGUAGCUGGAGAGGAGCUGAUGCUGGUAGGCUGCAAUGUGAGUGAUAGUAUGUUCGCGCCUCUCUUCUGCCAAAUCUAAGCUUGUGGCCAUCUCUUUUUGGUUGCUCGUCUUUUAGUUGUGCGAUAUGCCUAUAGACAUCCUUGGAGUUCGUCUGGCCGUUUUCUUUUCUUAUUGGUGGGGGAUUUCUUGUGGCAGUUGAGGAUCAUCUUAGUGGAUGCUUUGGCUCGCCUAUUGCCUUGAGGAUAUCUUGGCGUAGACAUGUGCUGCUUGAUGCCAUAUUUUUUGAAGAACUUCGCCAAAUCUUUGCCCACGAAUUGCGGGCUGUUGUCGGUGAUGAUGGAUUAAGGGAUGCCAAAUCGGCAAAUGGUACUCCUUCAUAUGAAGCGCUCUAUGUCCGUCUAAACCAUGAUCGUCAUGGGCUCUGCUUCUACUUAUUUGGUGAAGUAGUCGGUUGCCACGAUCAUCAUGUUUUUGCCCCUGGUAGUCUGGCUGGUGAUUAGCUAGGACUCGGAAUGAAUGGAAAGCUUUUUCACCACCAAGUCUUUUGUCAUUCGAAGGCUUGCUAGUGGGGCUUCGUACUCUGCUUCGUUGUUAGAUGUUUUGAAGCUUAGAGUGAUCGCCUGUUUAAGCAUUGAAACGUCUGGGGUGGCAAGAACCACGGCUGCUCACGAUCCUUCGUAGUUGGAUGCGUCGUCGACAUGUAAACGCCAGAAAUCUCCAUUGAGGGAGCAGGUGUGGCUAAAGUGUGCUCGGCUGCCUUUGGGGCGUCGUUGGACCGAGUUAUUGCGUUCAUCAGAAAACUUUGCAUCUGCUAGGGUCUACGCCUUUAUCGUCGCCAGUUUGGAUUCAGCGGAAUAGUGCGUCAUGAUGAUGACUACUUGCGUUUGAAGGUAAAACUUAAGCUUUUGGGUUACAACAAUUAUCGCCAAAGUUAACUUUUGAAUUUUUAAUAGCAUCGAUGAGAGCUUUUGAACUGUAGAAUACAGGUAGUCGGGCCCCCAACUCUUCUCGCAUGAUGGUAGAGCUUAUUGUUACUUUAGAUACGUCAAACAUGCGAAUAAGUCAUCCGCUGCUUCUAGGGAGGUGAUGUCGGGUACUUCUUCAAGUCCUUGAAUGUGCAUUGGCGAGCCUCAUCCCAAAGUGCAUGCUUCUCUGCCAAAGCAAAAGAGUCUGCCAGAGUUAGAUCUUCUUUCAUGAUCAAUUUUUCGAAUAGCGGGUGGUCUGCUGGAAGUCCUUUUUGGAAGGCUGCUCUAGCUAUCGAGUCGUUGCAUCUGACUAUUUUUUCCUUUUCUACUUUGAACCUCCUCACAUAGUCGCGAAGCGACUCCUUUGGGUUCUUCUUGAUGUUAAACAAUUGGUCAAACUUCUUUUUGAUCGAACGAUAAGAUGAAUAUUCUUUGGUGAAAACCAAAGAAAGUUCGUAGAAAUUCCGGAUGGAUUGUGGCAGCAGGGUGUAGAACCAAUCUUGUGUCUCGCCUUGUAGAGUGGUGGCGAAUAUCUUGCACAUGAGAUCAUCGUUGUUUCGAUAAAGGAUCAUUACGGUUCGGUAGCGCUUUAAGUGUCUCUCCAGGUCUUCAUCCCCUUUGAAAGAUGUGAAAUGUGGCAUGCUGAACUCGCGUGAAGGCUCUGCUUGCUCGAUCUCGUCCGUGAAGGGUGACCUACUUAUGUUGGUCAUGUUUCGUUGUAGUGCCUUAUCGGUGACCUCGUUGCGUUGGAAAUCAUGCAAUCGCUUGGUCAAUAGUCUCUUUACUUCUUUCUGAAUUUGCCUUUGUUGGGAUAGCGGAGCUCUCGGCUGCCCCCACCCAUGACUUGCUGGUCUAGGCUGCUCUUCCAUGUGUUUGGCUCGUUUAUGUCGCAAAUGCAGUGCAUGUGGUGUGUUCCUAGCAGGCGAGCGGGUUUUUCGCAGGCUGCUGGUUGAACUUGAGUAGGAUUGAGUGACUGCUUCUCUCCGUCCGUCGUGCUACCUACUCUGAUGUGAGGUGGAUGAUGCUCCUUGUGGGCUUAGCCGCGAAUGGACACUUUGCCCGGAAGGUUGCUCAUGUUGACUAUCGGAGUAUGACCCCAACUGUGAAUGUAUGCUCAUCUGUGACCCUAGUCGGGAGUGCAUGCUCCUCCGCGUGCUAAGAUGGGAAUGUACACUGCCCAAACGUUCGGCUCGUGGCUGGUCGAGUGGCUGCUUGCUGGGACGCUGCUGGAAAGGUCUGUCUGCCCUUGUCCUACUUCGGGAUACCUCGUCCGGGGUACAUUGGAUCCCAAUGCAUUGCAAAAGUUGAUUCACCAAGGUUGUCUGUUGUGCAAGGGCACUCGUCAACUCUAUGACUUGUCGAGACAAGUGUUGUUCGCCAUUUGGAUUGGAAGAGCUUGGAAUGAAUGCGCCUCUUUGGGCAAUGGAAGGGUGGUAGACUCCGGGCGCAAGAUUUGAGUUGAGAAAUGUCAAAUCUGUGAAAAAAUGUGGUGAGAAUGCCCCCGACUCGAUGGUAGGUCCGUAUGGUUGAGAUAGUCUUGGGCCGACUUGGGCUGCUUGGAAAGCCACAAGAGCAGGCUGGGCCGUGAGAGUGGGCUACUCGACUGGAGUUGGCUGGGCCACGGGAGUGGGCUGCUCGACUGGAGCUGGCUGGACCACGGGAGUGGGCUGCUCGUCAGGAGCCGGCUGGGUCACGAGAGCAGGCUGUUUGGGAGGAGCAGGUUGGGCCACGAGUGUGGGCUGCUCGUCGGGAGCAGGCUGGGUCACAAGAGCAGGCUGGGCCGCGAAAGCAGGUUGCUUGCCGGGAGCACGCAGGGCCACGGGAGUGGGCUGCUCGUCGGGAGCAAGCUGGGUCACGACAGCAGGCUGCUUGGCAGGAGCAGGCUGGGCCACGAAAGUAGGUUGCUUGGCGGGAGUAGGCUGGGCCGUGAGAGCAGGUUGCUUGGCGGGAGCAGGCUGCUUAGAAUGUGAUGCAAGGGAAUGCGAGGCUUGGGUCCAGGCCCAUGCAAACUUGGAUGGCACGACUUGGGCCGUGGCCUUGGUGUAGUGAGCCUUGGAUGGCACGGCUCGAGCCGUGGUGAAGGCACCAUGGACCUCGCCACGGGUGGCUACCGAGGUAGCCACCGUGGUGGUUCCCAUGGUGGAAACUCGUGGUGGUGGUGCUGCUCCACUUAUUGUCGCAUUUAGCCUCACGGAUCUCGGCAAUCCCAUUUCUUGAACAUUAGAAAUUUCACUUGUGGAAUUUUCUAAAUUUCUAGCCAUUAUAUUUUGCUUAUACGUUUUAUCAAAGAACCUUUGCAAGUAAAAAAUUCUAAUAAUAAGAACGUAUGAAAAAUAUUCAAAUGGACUAGAAAAUAAAGAAAAAACCUUUUUGUGCGAGAGUCUUCUACGAGUAUGGAUUUCAACUCUCAAUGAAAGCACCAAUUUGUGGAUGCAAAUUUUCUCCUUCGAUCUUGGACGAUUUUGCACCUACAAAACAACUAGCACCUUAGGUUAAGGCCAAAAGCCUCACGCGCCCAUGAUGAAUGGGGGGGGGGCUUUGGCCGAAGAACCUCCGAUGCCAAAGUUAGAAUUUUUAGAGAGAAAAAGUGUUUAGAGUGUUUAGCAUUUUUUGCAAGAGGAUUGACCUUACCAUUUGGUGAAAAUAGGUCCCUAUUUAUAGGGCUAGGUAGGUUUACUUUUUAGAGAGGAAAUGUGGCCGACCAUUCAAUAGGAAUUUUAGGUUUUAUUUGGCUAAUUAAACCUAAAAGGAAAUGUUUUGGUGCUUAUGGUAUUAAUUGGCUAAUAAAAAGGAAGAAAUUGUGAAAAAUGUAGAAAAAGGUGAUGGAUUAGGUUUUGAAUGGGGAUAGCCGGCCCUCUAGUAUUUUUAGGUUUGAAUGGGUGUUUCAAUUUGAUAAUUAAGGGAUUGAUUGGGUAAUUAAUCCCUUAAUUAGUCAAUUUUUAGGAAACAUGAAAGGAAUAUAUUAUUUAGCUAAUUGAUUAGCUAAAUAAUGGAAUAUAAAACAUAUAAAAUAAAUUAGGUUUUGGGAAUUACCUUAUAGAAAGGAUUUGAUGAAAUAGGCUUUAAAUUGUUACCUAUUUUGAGCACUUUUGACUUGGUUGAAAGAUAAUUUCCCGCUGCUUGCAUGUAGGAAUCCCGGUAUGCCUGAAGGGUAUUUUUGUCCUCUUUUGUCCAAAAGUCCACGUGUCGCCUAGUGAAUAUUUUUGGCUCCACAGUAUCAGUAUCAGUAUCUCUCGACCCGAAGCCAGUAAUAUAUAUCUUCUGCUAACCAUAUAUCUCCCUCAGCCUUAUUUGUCCCUCGCCCGUAGGCAGAACAGUGACCAUUAGUUACGCACAAAACCAUUGAGCAUAAUCUUUCUAAACACAGGUACAUAUAUUUCAAAAACAUCUUCAUAGUAUAAAGUGUUACACCUCACCCCUACUUAUAUGUAUAAUUCCGUAAUUUUCCCCAAAGUUUAAUGGAAUUAUCAUUUUGGUCCCCUAUCUUGACUAAAUCUAGAUAGAGGGUCCAUAUUU